CACAGCACGUGGAUCGUGAUGAGCAGCCAGAGCGCGUACGGCACAAGGACACGGGUCACGGACUCCGGCAGCAAACGGAACCGGUGAUUCCAUGAGGAACUGCGGCGUUCUCUGCAGGUCAGAGCGGGUAGUGCGGCACGCUGAUAUGCUGGUGAAACGCACCGUGGUGAGCGCCGUACAGCAGCUCCGGAGACGCACCGCUCAGGCCCGUGCACAGCGGCUCAUGGUUGCUCAGGACCGUGGACAGAUACUUGGCCUCUUCUAGAGAAGCUGGAACAAAACAAAGCAUAGGACUACAGAGCCUGUGAAUAAUUUAUGAGGUAAGCAGUGUUUGGUUUACAACUGGUUGUCUGAUGCCUAUAGAUUUGUAAAUAUGUUACCGCUCUUAUUUACAGAUUUGUGAGUUAAAUAAAGUUUGAUUUUUUUUUUUCAGUCUCUGAAACAAAGCGUUCAAAAUAUUCAGUUUACUGUCAAAUCUUAUAAAUAAUUAAUGAAGUUGCUACUAAUUGGUUGUCUAUUGCGAAACAUCUCAACUGUUAACCUAA
Molecule: long non-coding RNA, 545 nt
Organism: Carassius auratus (goldfish)
Lineage: Eukaryota; Metazoa; Chordata; Actinopteri; Cypriniformes; Cyprinidae
Exons: 3
Source: RefSeq, a predicted model, not a curated record